ACGGGGUGCAGCAGGCGCGAAAACUUUACAAUGCGGGAAACCGUGAUAAGGGAACUCCGAGUGCCCGUAAAAUCGGGCUGUCCAUCAGUUUAAAAAACUGGUGAAGAAAGGGCCGGGCAAGACCGGUGCCAGCCGCCGCGGUAAUACCGGCGGCUCGAGUGGUGGCCACUAUUACUGGGCUUAAAGCGUUCGUAGCUGGUUUGUUAAGUCUCUGGGGAAAUCUGCCGGCUUAACCGGCAGGCGUUUCAGGGAUACUGGCAGACUAGGGACCGGGAGAGGUGAGAGGUACUCCAGGGGUAGGAGUGAAAUCCUGUAAUCCUUGGGGGACCACCUGUGGCGAAGGCGUCUCACCAGAACGGUUCCGACAGUGAGGGACGAAAGCUGGGGGAGCAAGCCGGAUUAGAUACCCGGGUAGUCCCAGCUGUAAACGAUGCGCGUUAGGUGUAUCGGUGACCACGAGUCACCGAGGUGCCGAAGAGAAAUCGUGAAACGUGCCGCCUGGGAAGUACGGUCGCAAGGCUGAAACUUAAAGGAAUUGGCGGGGGAGCAC
This 550-nucleotide ribosomal RNA is filed under the name uncultured archaeon. RNAcentral describes it as "bacterial SSU rRNA". It matches the Rfam family "Archaeal small subunit ribosomal RNA", at positions 325 to 879 of the family's 1478-position model. The record is from RNAcentral.